This 1343-nucleotide ribosomal RNA is filed under the name uncultured bacterium. RNAcentral describes it as "16S ribosomal RNA". It matches the Rfam family "Bacterial small subunit ribosomal RNA", at positions 28 to 1378 of the family's 1533-position model. The record is from RNAcentral.
GACGAACGCUUGCGGCGUGCUUAACACAUGCAAGUCGAACGGAAAGGCCCUGCUUUUGUGGGGUGCUCGAGUGGCGAACGGGUGAGUAACACGUGAGUAACCUGCCCUUGACUUUGGGAUAACUUCAGGAAACUGGGGCUAAUACCGGAUAGGAGCUCCUGCUGCAUGGUGGGGGUUGGAAAGUUUCGGCGGUUGGGGAUGGACUCGCGGCUUAUCAGCUUGUUGGUGGGGUAGUGGCUUACCAAGGCUUUGACGGGUAGCCGGCCUGAGAGGGUGACCGGCCACAUUGGGACUGAGAUACGGCCCAGACUCCUACGGGAGGCAGCAGUGGGGAAUAUUGCACAAUGGGCGGAAGCCUGAUGCAGCAACGCCGCGUGCGGGAUGACGGCCUUCGGGUUGUAAACCGCUUUCGCCUGUGACGAGGCGUGAGUGACGGUAAUGGGUAAAGAAGCACCGGCUAACUACGUGCCAGCAGCCGCGGUGAUACGUAGGGUGCGAGCGUUGUCCGGAUUUAUUGGGCGUAAAGGGCUCGUAGGUGGUUGAUCGCGUCGGAAGUGUAAUCUUGGGGCUUAACCCUGAGCGUGCUUUCGAUACGGGUUGACUUGAGGAAGGUAGGGGAGAAUGGAAUUCCUGGUGGAGCGGUGGAAUGCGCAGAUAUCAGGAGGAACACCAGUGGCGAAGGCGGUUCUCUGGGCCUUUCCUGACGCUGAGGAGCGAAAGCGUGGGGAGCGAACAGGCUUAGAUACCCUGGUAGUCCACGCUGUAAACGGUGGGUACUAGGUGUGGGGUCCAUUCCACGGGUUCCGUGCCGUAGCUAACGCUUUAAGUACCCCGCCUGGGGAGUACGGCCGCAAGGCUAAAACUCAAAGGAAUUGACGGGGCCCCGCACAAGCGGCGGAGCAUGCGGAUUAAUUCGAUGCAACGCGUAGAACCUUACCUGGGUUUGACAUGGAUCGGGAGUGCUCAGAGAUGGGUGUGCCUCUUUUGGGGUCGGUUCACAGGUGGUGCAUGGCUGUCGUCAGCUCGUGUCGUGAGAUGUUGGGUUAAGUCCCGCAACGAGCGCAACCCUUGUUCACUGUUGCCAGCACGUUAUGGUGGGGACUCAGUGGAGACCGCCGGGGUCAACUCGGAGGAAGGUGGGGAUGACGUCAAGUCAUCAUGCCCCUUAUGUCCAGGGCUUCACGCAUGCUACAAUGGCUGGUACAGAGAGUGGCGAGCCUGUGAGGGUGAGCGAAUCUCGGAAAGCCGGUCUCAGUUCGGAUUGGGGUCUGCAACUCGACCUCAUGAAGUCGGAGUCGCUAGUAAUCGCAGAUCAGCAACGCUGCGGUGAAUACGUUCCCGGG